Non-coding RNA from Rana temporaria (common frog), 135 nucleotides. RefSeq annotates it as small Cajal body-specific RNA 11. The record is from RefSeq and is a predicted model, not a curated record. Lineage: Eukaryota; Metazoa; Chordata; Amphibia; Anura; Ranidae. The transcript has a single exon.
AUGUCCAGUCUUUAUCGAACUCUCCCCUUCAGUUCAUGAUUUGUGGGAAGCAAUGGCUGGACGUACAGUAAACCUGUCUGUUUAGGAGGGCUGCACACAGUAAAGUGCUCACCCUUAAAGGCUUGAUAGGACAUG